ACGGAAGGCAGCAGUGGGGAAUAUUGGGCAAUGGACGAAAGUCUGACCCAGCGACGCCGCGUGAGGGAAGAAGGUCUUCGGAUUGUAAACCUUAGUCAACAGGGGAGAAGCAAGUGACGGUACCUGUGGAGGAAGCCACGGCUAACUACGUGCCAGCAGCCGCGGUAAUACGUAGGUGGCGAGCGUUAUCCGGAUUUACUGGGUGUAAAGGGUGUGUAGGCGGGACUGCAAGUCAGAUGUGAAAAUUAUGGGCUUAACCCAUAACCUGCAUUUGAAACUGUGGUUCUUGAGUGUGGGAGAGGUAGGCGGAAUUCCCGGUGUAGCAGUGAAAUGCGUAGAUAUCGGGAGGAACACCAGUGGCGAAGGCGGCUUACUGGACCACAACUGACGCUGAGACACGAAAGCGUGGGGAGCAAACAGGAUUAGAUACCCUGGUA
RNAcentral lists this ribosomal RNA (437 nucleotides) under uncultured Oscillospiraceae bacterium. Its description in RNAcentral is "bacterial SSU rRNA". It matches the Rfam family "Bacterial small subunit ribosomal RNA", at positions 341 to 792 of the family's 1533-position model. The record is from RNAcentral. Lineage: Bacteria; Bacillati; Bacillota; Clostridia; Eubacteriales; Oscillospiraceae.